GUGAGGAAUUUUCCGCAAUGGGCGAAAGCCUGACGGAGCAAUGCCGCGUGAAGGAUGAAGGCCUAUGGGUUGUAAACUUCUUUUCUUAGAGAAGAAUAUUGACGGUAUCUGAGGAAUAAGCACCGGCUAACUCCGUGCCAGCAGCCGCGGUAAUACGGAGGGUGCAAGCGUUAUCCGGAAUCAUUGGGUUUAAAGGGUCCGCAGGCGGGCUAUCAAGUCAGAGGUGAAAUCCCACAGCUUAACUGUGGAACUGCCUUUGAAACUGAUGGUCUUGAAUUAAGUGGGCGUUGGCGGAAUAUGACAUGUAGCGGUGAAAUGCAUAGAUAUGUCAUGGAACACCGAAAGCGAAGGCAGCUAACGAUACUUAUAUUGACGCUCAUGGACGAAAGCGUGGGUAGCGAACAGGAUUAGAUACCCGGGUAGUCC
Molecule: ribosomal RNA, 426 nt
Filed under: uncultured bacterium
Lineage: Bacteria
Description: partial 16S ribosomal RNA
Rfam family: Bacterial small subunit ribosomal RNA
Source: RNAcentral